GUCUCCGUCGUCUAGUGGUUAGGACACUACCCUUUCACGGUAGGAACGAGGUUUCAACUACCUCCGGAGACG
RNAcentral lists this transfer RNA (72 nucleotides) under Caudoviricetes sp. RNAcentral's name for it is "tRNA-Glu". It matches the Rfam family "tRNA". From Rfam's summary of the family: Transfer RNA (tRNA) molecules are approximately 80 nucleotides in length. Their secondary structure includes four short double-helical elements and three loops (D, anti-codon, and T loops). Lineage: Duplodnaviria; Heunggongvirae; Uroviricota; Caudoviricetes. The record is from RNAcentral.